Molecule: ribosomal RNA, 473 nt
Filed under: uncultured bacterium
Lineage: Bacteria
Description: SSU rRNA
Rfam family: Bacterial small subunit ribosomal RNA
Source: RNAcentral
AGGAUAAACGCUGGCGGCGUGCAUGAGACAUGCAAGUCGAACGGACGAUCAGGGCUUGCUCUGAUCGUUAGUGGCGGACGGCUGAGUAACGCGUAGGUGACCUGCCCCGAAGUGGGGAAUAACUGCCCGAAAGGGUGGCUAAUACCGCAUGUGGUGGUGUGUUCAAUCACACCAGUAAAGCCGCAAGGCGCUUCGGGAGGGGCCUGCGUCCGAUUAGCUCGUUGGUGGGGUAACGGCUCACCAAGGCGACGAUCGGUAGGUGGUCUGAGAGGACGAUCACCCAGACUGGGACUGAGACACGGCCCAGACUCCUACGGGAGGCAGCAGUCGGGAAUUUUGCGCAAUGGACGAAAGUCUGACGCAGCAACGCCGCGUGAGGGAUGAAGGCCUUCGGGUUGUAAACCUCUUUUAUCAGGGAAGAUAAUGACGGUACCUGAUGAAUAAGUCACGGCUAACUACGUGCCAGCAGCCGC